Non-coding RNA from Pelobates cultripes (western spadefoot toad), 1382 nucleotides. The record is from the annotation of a GenBank genome assembly. Lineage: Eukaryota; Metazoa; Chordata; Amphibia; Anura; Pelobatidae.
AGCCAUCAGUAGGAAAAUCUACUGAACAAAUUUUGAUGUGGUCAGAAUUUCUGGUCGGUUAAUAAGAAGAACAAAAUGUAUAAAAGGCAAUUUGGGACUAAGCUCUAAAAGUGGAGAAGUUACCAUGGAACCAUGGAAUAUUUCUGCUGGCUGCUUUACUUUAAAAUGUUACCUUACUUCCAAAACCACUCUUAAUUUAAUUUACAGCCACCACUGUUUAAAUCCAUAUAUAAGGAAUUGGGUGGGGGGGAGGCAGGGAGAAUGAAUGACUACGAGGAACACACUAGAGGAAAAGAAAAGGAGGGUAUAGGGUCAAUGAUGGCGAAGAAAUGCAGUAAUGGCAAUCAAUUUGGAGUAGAGAAGUCUACAUGGGGUGUACAUUAGAGUGCAAUUAAAAAAAAAAAAUUAAAAAAAAUUAAUGUACCAAACACCAAAAAAAGCUCCCGCUGCUCGGGGUAAAGAAAAAUAAAAUAAAAAAUUACAAAUAAAUAAAAAUCACACCCAGAGAAGGGAAGUCAUUAAGCAAAAUCUCAAAAAUUAUAAAUUAAUAACAUUACAAAAACCACACAGAAUGGGAGAGGUAUGAUAAUUUGUGGAAUAGUAGUGUCCCUGCUUGUACCCAUCUUUUGUAAACAUACAACACGCAAGAUGCAUGUAUGCUGCUUACACACAGGCACACUAUACACGCCCUCUUGGGAAAAUUGGUCCACAAAUAGAAUUAAAACUUUACCGUCUCUGCCUGGACUAUGAUAUACGUGGCUAUUAAAGUUAGAUAAAUGUCAUUCUGUGGAGCAGGGGCUAAGUACCGAGAUACUUCGAGUCACUAUGCACUACAGCACAGACAGCAGAAUGUAUAAUGAUACAGCAAUGCUCUGCAUUAAUAUACAGUGCGGCAUGCAGAACGUACAGGAGGUGCUCUGUAAGAUUAUACACUACGGCAUGCAAAGUGCUGAAUUUAUAGAGAAACUUUAUCAAUAUACUUUGCAGCAUUCGGAGCAGAAUGUCUAUCACUACACCUUGUAGCUACAGUUAUACCAUCAGUAGCCAUCGGCAGGCAAGAACCCCCAUCUAUAGGUACAAGUUAGACAGCUACCCAAUCAGCAGGAACAAGCAGGGACAAAUUCGGUCAUUGAAAACAGGUGAGCUGUACAAAGUAAUCAAUAAAGAAGGGGUUAAAUAGUGCAAGGAUAAAGGGGGUGAUCUCGCAGUCGCAGAAGGCACAGCACCAUAGUGAGGGGGAGCAGGGCAAAAACACAGCAGAAUCCCCCCAUUUCAUCACCUCCACAGGAGAACCAAAGACAAUUUCAUCCAAACAGCCAAAUAACAAAUAAUUAUUGCUUUUACUUCAGUCAGCCUUAAAUUCUAUGCAUUUUAUAUCCAUA